Molecule: long non-coding RNA, 1101 nt
Organism: Rhinichthys klamathensis goyatoka
Lineage: Eukaryota; Metazoa; Chordata; Actinopteri; Cypriniformes; Leuciscidae
Exons: 3
Source: RefSeq, a predicted model, not a curated record
CUAUCCCAACCCUCUUGACUAUGUGUUGCUUGGCAUGGGGCAAGACUCCGAGGCGAUGCGAAAUGGCAAAUUUGAGGCCUGCACGGUGGUUCAGUUGGAUCGUAGCCUGAUCCAGAUCUGCUAUAAGGCACAUCAAGGCAGGCACGGAGUUGAUGUGGGAUUAUAACUAUGAGGUGGGCAGUGUGGAGGAGAAGGUUAUGCUCUGCUGCUGUGACUCAAUGCGGUGCAAAGGAAGACUGCUCUGAUCUGCCCCUUUCAACAUAAAACACUAAAGCUUGGUGUUCAACCUGUCAGAAAUGUAGGUGUGCCACUAUUCUGGAAGAGCAUCGCAAAAAUGUGACCCAUUGAAUAUGAUAAAAAGUGAGUCGAAUCCCAUGGUCUCACCAGCCAAUCCUUUAUUGUUGGAUGAGCAUUUUGAGCUUUCAGGAACAAUUGUAUGUUAUCCUGAUGUUUCCAAGCACUGCUGCAUCCUGAGAUUCUCUGAACAAAUGUCUUUGAGGAUGGUCAGCUCAGCUCUCAUACCCAGCAUGCAUCCUUUCAAAAGCUCCACCAAUUGGGUUUGUGGGGACACUGCAAAACCCCCAAACAUUUCUACAGAAAAACAUAUCCGAGCAAAGACAACCCUGAUACCGUGGAAGCAUUUGAAAUGGCUGGUCUAGAUGUGGCUGGGAGCCAGAUAUGUCAAGAAGUUCUUGCCUUGUCUCAGUUUCCCAACUUGUUGUUCUUCUGGCAGAUUUCUUUAAGUAAAAACCCAAGAAACAGCAGGACUGCAUUCCAAUUUGUUUACAAAAGCAGCCAAACAUUUAAAAGGGAAUUUGUGUCUCUAUGUAUUUGUCAUUAUGGCAUAAACCUUUAAAGCACAAUGGUUUCCAGUGAAAAACGAUGUUCAAUACCCUGGUUUGUUUUCAAAGCUUUCUGUGUUUCAAUGAUCUGUCAGCUUUGCUCUUAUCUUUAGAGAAACAGAAGCUUGGAAUGAAAAAUGUCUUUUUUUUCUUUUCUUUUCUUUCCUUUUUUGUACAUAUAUUGCUAAUUCUGUCUAUUACACUGUAAGCUGUACCAUCUAAGGAUUGCUAUAUAAAGUUUCAGAAAGUUUUGAAGGUG